This 705-nucleotide ribosomal RNA is filed under the name uncultured Microsporidium. RNAcentral's name for it is "bacterial SSU rRNA". It matches the Rfam family "Microsporidia small subunit ribosomal RNA", at positions 19 to 661 of the family's 1311-position model. The record is from RNAcentral. Lineage: Eukaryota; Fungi; Microsporidia.
UGACGUGUGCGCUUGUCUCGAGGAUUUAGCCAUGCAAGCCAAGCGAAGCGAUAAGCGGAGCGGCGGACGGCUCAGUAAUACGGUUAUGAUUUACCCGGGGCUUGUACACGGAUAACCAUGGCAAGCUAUGGCUAAUACGUGGGAGCGCUACUGCAGCGGGGAGGCGCGAGUAGCGGACAGGGAGCGGCCGCGGCUAAGUUUCCGGCCUAUCAGCUUGAAGGUAGGGUAAUGGCCUACCUUGGCGGUGACGGGUGACGGGAGAUGAGAGUCUGAUUCCGGAGAGGGAGCCUGAGAAACAGCUCCCACGUCUAAGGACGGCAGCAGGCGCAAAACUUACCCAAUCCCCUGGCGGGGGAGGUAGCGAAGAGACGUGGGCUUUUGCCACGGGCCGCAGGCCAAAGGAGUGCGGCGGGACUGGAGGGCAAGUCUGGUGCCAGCAGCCGCGGUAAUUCCAGCUCCAGUAGCGCAUAUAUUUGUUGCUGCAGUUAAAACGUCCGUAGUUUGCCCCUAUGGCGCGGCGAGGAAAAUGGCGUUCUCAAAGCGGCAGGAGGCGCGGCAGGCCGGGGAGAGAGGAACAGAUGACGGCAGCAGGAUCCUGCGGCGAGAGGUGAAAAUUGAGGACCCGCGGGGGACUGUCUGAGGCGAAGGCGGCUGCCGAGGAUGUAUCCGUUGAUCAAGGACGUAAGCCGGAGGAUCGAAGAUGAU